Molecule: long non-coding RNA, 223 nt
Filed under: Citrus x clementina
Lineage: Eukaryota; Viridiplantae; Streptophyta; Magnoliopsida; Sapindales; Rutaceae
Description: Citrus clementina (C. clementina) long non-coding RNA (CCLE_LNC002832)
Source: RNAcentral
UUUCUUGUCUUGUUAAAGUUUUGUAAUUAACUUAAAUUGUAUAACAUUUUGAAUUGUCAUUUUAUUUUUUUUAUAAGUCUUUUUUUAAUGUUUUAUGCUUCCAAUAUAGAAGGAUUGGCAAGGGAAAAUAUUGCAAAGCAUUUGAUGCAGAAACUGCUAUUGGCAUCCUCUCAAGUGGUUGAAUCCAAGUAAGACUGGUGAGCAGCCCAAGCUUCAGCUGGCU